RNAcentral lists this ribosomal RNA (460 nucleotides) under uncultured bacterium. RNAcentral's name for it is "partial 16S ribosomal RNA". It matches the Rfam family "Bacterial small subunit ribosomal RNA", at positions 338 to 795 of the family's 1533-position model. The record is from RNAcentral.
CCUACGGGAGGCAGCAGUGAGGAAUAUUGGUCAAUGGACGAGAGUCUGAACCAGCCAAGUAGCGUGAAGGAUGACUGCCCUAUGGGUUGUAAACUUCGUUUAUAUGGGAAUAAAAUGUUACACGUGUGGGAUUUUGUAUGUACCAUAUGAAUAAGGAUCGGCUAACUCCGUGCCAGCAGCCGCGGUAAUACGGAGGAUCCGAGCGUUAUCCGGAUUUAUUGGGUUUAAAGGGAGCGUAGGUGGGUUGUUAAGUCAGUUGUGAAAGUUUGCGGCGCAACCGUAAAAUUGCAGUUGAAACUGGCAGUCUUGAGUACAGUAGAGGUGGGCGGAAUUCGUGGUGUAGCGGUGAAAUGCUUAGAUAUCACGAAGAACUCCGAUUGCGAAGGCAGUUCACUGGACUGCAACUGACACUGAGGCUCGAAAGUGUGGGUAUCAAACAGGAUUAGAUACCCCAGUAGUC